This 318-nucleotide long non-coding RNA is filed under the name Brassica napus (rape). RNAcentral's name for it is "long non-coding RNA (BNAP_LNC026884)". The record is from RNAcentral. Lineage: Eukaryota; Viridiplantae; Streptophyta; Magnoliopsida; Brassicales; Brassicaceae.
AAACCACUAUAAUCUAAAGGACAAAUCUCCAAAAUAGCACAUUUCUAAGUUUAUGUCACAAAAAUAAUCUUCAAAAACUAAAAUGACCAAAAUAGCAUUUUAUCUUUUGAAACUUUUUUUUUUAUUUUUCAAAAUUUAAAAUUUUAUUCCAAAACUCCACUCCCCAAUUCUAAACCCUAAAACAUAAACCCUAAACCCUAAACUCUAAACCCUAAACCCUAAAUCCUAAACCCUAAAUCUUAAACCCCACCCCUUAACUCUAAACCCUAAACCCCACCCCUAAACUCUAAACCCUAAACCCUAAAUCCUAAACCCCAC